This 497-nucleotide ribosomal RNA is filed under the name uncultured bacterium. Its description in RNAcentral is "partial 16S ribosomal RNA". It matches the Rfam family "Bacterial small subunit ribosomal RNA", at positions 28 to 507 of the family's 1533-position model. The record is from RNAcentral.
GAUGAACGCUGGCGGCGUGCCUAACACAUGCAAGUCGAGCGGAAAGACGAGGAGCGUGCUCUUCUGACGUUAGCGGCGGGCGAGUGAGUAACACGUAGAUAACCUACCUAUAAGAGUGGGAUAACUUCGGGAGAGCGGAGCUCAUACUGGAAAAUAUAUUGAAACGCAUGGGUCAGUAGUGAUUGAGGGUUUUGCGGUGGCUUAUAGAUGGAUCCGCGCCGCAGUAGCGAGUUGGUAAGGUAACGGCUUACCAAGGCAACGAUGCGUAGCCGACCUGAGAGGGGGAUCGGCGCCACUGGAGCUGAGCCGCGGUCCAGACUCCUACGGGAGGCAGAGGUAGGGAAUCUUCGCAGAAGGGCGGAAGCCUGACGGAGCGACGCCGCGCGAGUGAUGAAGGGCUGCGGAUCGUAAAACUCUGUUAUUAGGGAAGAACAAAUUUGUAAGUAACUAUGCACGUCUUGACGGUACCUAAUCAGAAAGCCACGGCUAACUACGUG